UCAGUUAGCCUCAGUGGUUUCUCGGGUCUAGUAUAUAUAUUUUAUUUUAUAUGGUAACGGGCGGUUGUUGUGGAAGUGAUGUUUAAAAUAAGAAUUCACAAUGAUGAUUGGUAUACUAAAUAUAGUACUAGUACUUGCAUGAUCAUGUAUAUGCA
RNAcentral lists this microRNA precursor (155 nucleotides) under Brassica napus (rape). RNAcentral's name for it is "miR6036 stem-loop (bna-MIR6036)". The record is from miRBase by way of RNAcentral. Lineage: Eukaryota; Viridiplantae; Streptophyta; Magnoliopsida; Brassicales; Brassicaceae.